UUUGCUCCUGUUUGCCACUUGGGGCAUUGGUGGUUAUGGCUGAUAAAUACAACAACGCGGAAAUGUCAUAUACUUGACCCGCUACACAAAAAAGCUCCAAGCGAUGAGAGAAAGCAGGUUAAUAAAUUCACUGGAUAUGUAUUUUCAAGAUUGAUAACAUAUGCCGGCGGGGAACCUCUGCAGAAAGGGGAGAACGAGAAGAAAAUUAAAUCAUCAUAUGUUAAAAUAUCAGGCCAAAAAACAAGCUAUGACUGCGCUAUCUACGUUAUGAAGUGGAUGGAGUUAAUUGAGCCGG
This is a non-coding RNA of Arachis ipaensis, 295 nucleotides long. Lineage: Eukaryota; Viridiplantae; Streptophyta; Magnoliopsida; Fabales; Fabaceae. The record is from RefSeq and is a predicted model, not a curated record.